UCGUAACAAGGUCUCCGUAGGUGAACCUGCGGAGGGAUCAUUACACAAAUAUGAAGGCGGGCUGGAACCUCUCGGGGUUACAGCCUUGCUGAAUUAUUCACCCUUGUCUUUUGCGUACUUCUUGUUUCCUUGGUGGGUUCGCCCACCACUAGGACAAACAUAAACCUUUUGUAAUUGCAAUCAGCGUCAGUAACAAAUUAAUAAUUACAACUUUCAACAACGGAUCUCUUGGUUCUGGCAUCGAUGAAGAACGCAGCGAAAUGCGAUAAGUAGUGUGAAUUGCAGAAUUCAGUGAAUCAUCGAAUCUUUGAACGCACAUUGCGCCCUUUGGUAUUCCAAAGGGCAUGCCUGUUCGAGCGUCAUUUGUACCCUCAAGCUUUGCUUGGUGUUGGGCGUCUUGUCUCUAGCUUUGCUGGAGACUCGCCUUAAAGUAAUUGGCAGCCGGCCUACUGGUUUCGGAGCGCAGCACAAGUCGCACUCUCUAUCAGCAAAGGUCUAGCAUCCAUUAAGCCUUUUUUUUCAACUUUUGACCUCGGAUCAGGGAGGGAUACCCGCUGAACUUAAGCAUAUCAAUAAGCGGGA
RNAcentral lists this ribosomal RNA (582 nucleotides) under Alternaria alternata. RNAcentral's name for it is "eukaryotic LSU rRNA". The stretch from base 209 to 362 matches the Rfam family "5.8S ribosomal RNA". Lineage: Eukaryota; Fungi; Ascomycota; Dothideomycetes; Pleosporales; Pleosporaceae. The record is from RNAcentral.